GUUUCAUUUCUCAUUGAUCGGGAAAGUUGUACAGGUAUACCGGUAUGUUAUGAAAAAUUCGCGGUUAUGACACGUUCCCGAGCAAGUAGCACCUUUAAUUUUUGAAUUGGUCUCACUCUAGGAUGACCUGUUUGAUGAAAUCUUUGUAGUGGAUGCCGGAGGUUCAAGUUUAUGACCAUCCCCAUCGAAAACUAGCACUAUUGGUGAAUGAUGAAACUGUCACCAUUUCUGUGAAGGUUGCACAACAGCUAUUAAGGAAAAUGUUUGGCGUGAACUGGCAUUUUAACUUCUCAGCCUUCAUACUCCAAAGAACUCUAGGCAUGCAGAGAUAGCAUUACCAGUGCCACAUUUGUAAAAAAAAAAAGGAGAAAGAUCGAAUCUUGGGCAUUACUGGCAGUGUGAGAGACGUGACGAAAAUGAAAUUCAACAAAUUCUUGCCUGUGACGAGGACUCGUCUAACGCGAAGGAGGGGUUCAGGGAUGCUGGUACUUGCAUAUUUAUGGACAUUGUUUUCAUUAGUGAGGACCCAGAGCGGGGGUAUAAAUCUGAACCCGGUGUGUGAAAGAACGCUUUCCGAUGGAACCGUAGAAUAUCUUGCUUGUUCUGCAGGCUCAGAGGACCUUUCACUGUUGGACUUGUCAGUCUCUGUAGAUCCAGUCAAUUCUACGUGUGGACUCAGUUCUGAUGUGAACAGACUGAUAUACAGUACUUUGGAUUACAAUGUCUUCGUAUGUGAUGCCUCAAACGCCUCCCUUGCGCACCCUCCGGAGUACAUCAUAGACGGUGAUGACCGAGACUCGCCAACAUGGUGGCAGUCCACAUCGUGGUACGACUUCCCGCAGCCCCUGGAAAUCAACGUCACCGUAUCUCUGGACCAUUCUUAUACCCUGGUAGACAGUAUAGAGAUAAUCUUUCAGUCGGCACGACCCCAACAAAUGAUAUUGGAGAAAUCCAACGAUAGAGGUGCCACGUGGGAAACGCUCCAGUACUAUUCCAGAGACUGCCUUGAAGACUUCUCCCUCGAUGAUACCCGGGAGUCCGACAUCAAAGAUGUCUCGCAGGUCAUCUGCACAUCAGAGUAUAGCGGAAUCUUGCCCUACAGGAAUGCUCCUGUUAAGUUUGACGUGGAGGAACGUUUGGCUCUUUUGUUUUCUGAUGGAGUCUCGCCAGCGCUUCAAGUUGAGGCGUAUCAGAACGAUACCGAAUUCCGUGACCUUUUGACCCUUACAGAUCUGCGUCUGCGGUUGUUGCGUCCUGCCACAGAUGGAUUAGAAUAUCCAGGAUAUUUUUUUUCUCUCAGCAAGUAUUAUUAUGCCAUAUCGAACAUUCAAUCUUUCCUCACGUGCAACUGCAACCAGCAUGGUCGCUUCUGUGCCCCCUCCCCCGAGAGCGGGGAUGUCGUCUGUGAGUGCUUCCAUAACACCAUGGGAACAAAUUGUGAGCAAUGUCUGCCGCUCUACAACGAUCGUCCAUGGAAGGCAGGAUCCUUUACCCCUUUCCCCACGGGAACACCCAAUGAGUGUCAAAAGUGUACUUGUAACGAUCACGCCGCCAGCUGUAUCUACAAUGCCACGCUUGGGUACGGCGUCUGCCAGGACUGCUACGACAACACGGCGGGCGAUUUCUGCGACAUCUGUGUGGAUGGGUUCUUCCGUAACGAGUCUCGUGAUAGGAGUGAUCCUGAUGUUUGCAUUGAGUGUAACUGUGAGCAACUAGGAACUGUUGACAACAAUACAGUCUGUGCUCAGUUUGCUGAUGAUGCAACAGGCUCUCCUAUUGGUCAGUGUCCGUGCAAAGGAAAUGUAACCGGGAGAGCUUGUGACCAAUGCGUGGACAGCUUCUAUGGACUUCUUACAGAGCCUGACCCUGGCAGAUGUAGAGAAUGUGGAUGCAAUGUGCUAGGGACAUUGAAUGCCACAGAGUCCUGUGACCAGACCAGUGGCCAGUGCUUCUGUAAGGCCAACACGGACACCAGGACAUGCGGAAUGUGCAAGGAUCAGUUUUAUGGCUAUCCCACUGAUGCCAACGAAGACUGUUCCCCCUGUGACUGUGACCCUGGGGGCGCUAUAUCAUUGACCUGUAACAAGGUGACUGGUCGGUGUGAUUGUCGAGGGUUCACUGGAGGCCGGACAUGUACGAAUGUGGAGAGUGGAUACUAUUUUCCUUAUCUUGAUGUUAAUAGUCAUGACGCUUGGGAGGCCAAUUCAAGCUGCGUCCAUCGAUCUGACUUUCCAUCCGAUGGUUUCUCAGGUCUGGGCUAUCUGGAGUGUGGUGUCGGUGAUAGGAUCCUCUUCAACGGGAUCAGGGUGUAUUCCAACGUUACAGAAAGAAUAUCAAGCUAUCUUGUUCUUCGUUACACUUACGUCUCCCAAUCGCCUUGGCUGAUGGCCGCCCUGCGCAUCAUCGUAGAAGCUACGGAGGACACCGCCCUCUCUUGCCCGUACCCUGCUGGCGAUGUGAUCGCAAGCCCUGCCUUCUCCCUGCAGCCUGGCGAGGGUGUUGCAUGGUCUUCGGAGGAGCCCUAUGGCUUCCAUCAGGGUUGUUCCUACUCUGCAGCGUUUGAACUGGACAGUGCAGGGCUAGGAGCGAAUGCCAUUGUGAUCGACGCUCUUGUUCUCAUUCCUGAUCCAAGUUCUUCUACUGUCUAUAGGAUCGGCGAUCCAGUAGAGAGAGGAUUUUAUGAAGACUGCCUUCGAGAUAUUUCAGCCUACUCCAAUCGUUCUCGUGCCCUUGAGGCCUGCCGGCCAUUCACCUACUCGCUCAUGAUGGAAAUUGUCGGAGAAGCACAAAAGUGCAGUUGCAAUGUAGAAGGCUCCCUUCCCCAGACGGUUUGCUCCACCUAUGGAGGGUCUUGCUUGUGUAAGCCUGGGGUCGGAGGUCAAAACUGCGAUAGGUGCCUGCCGGGCUUCUUCAACUUUACCUCCAGUGGUUGUCAAGCAUGCAACUGUGAUCAAAAUGGAUCAAUCACCCAGGCUUGUGAUUUCAUCACCGGUCAGUGCCCCUGCAAAUCGGGCGUGGCCUCGGAGGGCCAGACCAGCCACCUCGGCCUUGCCAGCGACAGACGAUGCAGUGCCUGCCAGGAGAACUUCUUUGGGUUCGGUAACCCUGAUGGCUGUGGUGCUUGCGGAUGCCAUCCCCUAGGAUCUUUGGAUUUGCAGUGCAGUGAGGACGGGGUGUGUCGAUGUCUGGAGACGGUCGGUGGGGAGAAGUGUGAUAGCUGCCUGCAAAGCUUCUACAAUCUGACCUCGGAAGGUUGCAGCGCUUGUGACUGUAACAUGGCAGGCUCCCUCACCUCCGAGUGCAACUCCAUCACCGGGGUCUGCUCGUGCAAGACUAAUGUAGAGGGGUCAAAGUGCGAUGGGUGUCGCCCAGGGUUCUUCAACCUGGACGAUGCAAACCCAGAAGGAUGCCAGCCAUGCUUCUGCUAUGGUCAUGGAACGAGCUGCAACGCUGCACCAAACUAUGUCCUGGACUUUGUGAGAUCUGACUUUACACAGGGAAGUACCAACGGAUGGAGAUUGUCAGACCCUUCAUCCUUGAACAUCAAUCCGACAAACAUCCGGGUAUCUCACCCGCCCUCCUUGCCCAGUGGGGCGUCCGUGUAUCUGAUCGCCCCCGAGGAAUACCUUGGAUUCAAGCUCAGUUCCUACGGCGGGUCCUUUCGCUUCACCUCCAAGAUAGAAGUAGGAAGCGCAGACCAGUCUUCUAACAGGUAUUUGGUGUUGACGGGUGGACCACAAAACACCAGUAUCUUCUACGCCGCGGAGGAGUUUGUCCCGACGGACCAGCCUUCAGAAUUUACAGCGACGUUUUAUGAAGGGAUGUGGCGAACUACAGAGACAGGAAGUGAGGUCACUGUGCUUCAGUUUCAAGAAAUACUGGCUGACGUCACCAGUAUUCAAGUUCGGGCAUCGUUUGGUCCAGGAACGGUUAGCACAUUCUUUGAUGUUUCCAUGGAAACGGCAUCAUCGGUCUCAAGUUCUGAAGAUGCGAACAAUGAGUUUGUGACCACUGUAGAACAGUGUGUCUGCGACACUUCUUCAAAUACCAUGGGUCUAUCAUGCAGCAGCUGUUCAAGUGGUACGAAGCGCCUGACUCCGUUUGGGCCCAAAACGGACAUCUGCGUGCCCUGCUUCUGCAACGGCCGUUCCUCGGCGUGCGACCCUGAUUCGGGCGUCUGCAUGGGCUGCCGUUCGGGCACGGUUGGGGAUCUCUGUGAAAGCUGUGCAGAUAAUGUCCAGGAACCGAACUGUGACCAGUGCAUCCCGGACUAUUACGGAUUUGGAACUGAUCUCUUUGGUGGAGCCUGCUCAGCCUGCGGGUGUAACACCACCGGAACGGGAGGAGCCACUCAGUGUGACAACGACAGCGGCCAAUGCCCCUGUGUCGGCAACUUUGGUGAACAACGUUGUGAUGGAUGCGCGUACAACUACUACAACUACGACUCUGGUUGCUUGAAAUGUGAUGUGUGUUAUGACGGUAUCGAGACAACUCAUCUCAGAUUGCUGGCGUUGCAGCGUAACCUGUCUCAGUUUGUAUCGGACCUUGAGGAGAGAGACAACUCCUCCAUACCCGAACCCUUCUAUCAGCGACUGCAGGAAACCAACGAUCUUCUGGCUGAUCUUGUGGAUGCUACCAGCUCAACAAUACAGGAAGGUUCCAAUCUACAAAGCACCAUUGCUGCACUCAUCAGUGUCAUGGAAGCUUUGAUAUCAACACUAGAUGGCGCUGUUCAAAAUGAUAUCAUGUUUGCCCAAGGAAAUGCCUCUGCUGCUCAGGAGAAUGCUCAACUUGCCUUAGAAGCCAUUGGUGUGGUGAAUGUCGACUUAACCGUUGCUUAUGAAACCCUUACAAGUGGUGAUUUCCAAGCUGCCCAGACCAUUCUUGAAGGACUGAGAGAUGACCUAAUGAGACAAGCCGUCUCAUUGGAGGAGGUUAGGCAACAGACAGCCAAUCAGACGGCUGCAUUGGAACAGGAUGUGGCGCGUAUCAGGGAAUUGACCCAAGAGACGAUUCAAGCAGCAGAUGAACUGCUAGAGACCGCCCAAACAGCUCAGGUUAUUCAUGACAAUACGACCUCAAGGACAGCCACAGAGGUCACCCAUGCCAACAGCGUUGCAACCCUUGCCGAAGAAACCCUAGAUGAUGCUGAAGAGUUGCUUGGAAGUGCUCAAGAUCUCGAUGACUCUGCCAAGCAGAAGGUGGCCGACGUGGAAGCGGCACGCACGUCUGUGGAUGAUGACAGGAUCGAUCUUCUGAUGACGGAUGCCUCCGUGAAGACAGGUCAAGCAGUGUCUUUGACAGUUCAGGCCGAUUCCAAGUUAUCUGAUGCCCAGAACACCAUCACCACCGUCGAGGAGGCCCGCAUCACUACGGAGAACACUCAGCUUGAGGUAGACGCCACGGUUGCUGAAGUCAUGGACCGGUAUGACAGAGCAGCAGAAGCUAACCGGGACUCUUCUGACUCUGUCAUGCUCUCUCAAGAUACUUUCAAUGCUGCUGAAGAAAUGCUAGUUGUCUCUUUGAAUUUUGACGCCCAGUCAAAUGUUGCACAGUCUGAGGCUUUCACUGCAGUAGAGCAGAUACCAGAAAUAAAUCGGAUUGCUAAUGAGAACUUGGCAGAGUCAGGGCAAUUGAGGGCUCAGGUCAGCGGAGUAGGAAGUACAGCAAGUGAAGGGUCAAGGGUCGCCGCUGAAGCAUUCACUGUUGUGAACAAUGAAGGACAGACUGUCCUGCCAAUCCAUGAAAGAGCGGAACAACUCUACACGGAGGCAGCGAACCAACUGACAGACACGGACCAGAUUACAGAGUCCUUGAACCAGCUAGACCAGGACCAGAUCCAGCCCUCACUCCAAGCAUGUGAUGUAUUCCAACCUGACAUUGAUGAUCUAGAGGCAUCGUAUGAUCAAGUUUCAGCCAAAGCUGAUGAAUCGGCCGUGUCCACUUCUGCCAAUCAGGGAAGACUUGAAGCACUCCUGCAGGAAGUUGCAAACAUUGAGCAGGUGGAUACCAGCCAGUUACCGGCUCUCCAGGAAAGGCUCCGGGAAUCCGGGGAGCUCUUCUCCAUGCGGGACUACGCUGCAAUUGUCGCGGCACUUCAGCAGGGACUUGCCCAGCAAGGAGCAUGGCUAGAAGAUACGAGGACUGUGAUUUCAGAACUCCAAGCACAGAUUGACGCCUUGGAGAGUUUCAAUGUCAAUCCGUAGAUAUGCACAUUUAUGCUGUCGAUGAUGCUUCCGCUCCUUCUCCUCGCCAUGGUGUUUUGAUAUGGCGGGGUCUCCUUUUGUGAGGUACAAGCAAUCAUGUAUUGGCUUUCAUGCCAUGUCAUAUUCAAAGUAGAUCAUGUAGUGUAGUAUUCAUAUUUUUAUCAAAACCCAUGUAUGUAUGUGCCACACGGGCCAAUAUCUUAAUCUAAAGAACGAGGUAUUUAGGUUAAUAAUAUGGAGGGGGAGUUCUUAAUUUAUUCAUAAUUUUUCAGAUGUUAAUCUUUUCCCUGUAGGACUUUUUAAAAUACUUUCUUUCUAAAUGAAAACGUCACUUUCCUAUGUGCUUUUUGUGUGUUUUAGGGAAUGUAAUAUUUUUAAAAGGCUAUAUCCAUGUGCUCCUGAGCCAGAUUACCAAAUUGUUUUUCAUGGCACGAUUGUCAAACAUAUCGUUUGAUCAAAUCUAUUUUCUAGAACUAAGUUGCAUUUUUAAAUUGAAUCUAUUUAACCUUACAAAUAGCUUUCAUUUAGUUUCCUUUUCUCUUGUCUGUGUCAUAGUUUUCACUGAUGGCUAUAGAGCAGAUUCUAUGAUGGAAUGAUUUCCAAAUUUUUAAGUGCUGUGUAGAUGCAUAUGUAUUUUCUAGUGUAAAGAAAUUGUUUGUUUUGCCAAUAUUCUUGCAUUGUUUGUGUACACUUAUGUGUAUACCGUAUAUAAAGAGAUAUUUCAGAGAGCAUGGGGCACGGUUCGUGGAUAUAUUUACAGUUGUACAUGCAUAUUCAACCAGGGUUGCUACUGAAAACUUCCUAGUCUAACUGAAAAUGAAAAAAAAAUAAGCAUCCGGAUAAAGAAUGCAUAGAGCUUAAAACUUGUAUAUACUUUUUAUUAUGGAAAUAGAUUUGACAUUUAUUAUGUGGAAGUAUAAUGAUAAAUGCUCCAAAUAUUGGGAUAUUAUAUGGUAUCUGGUCUUUUAUUUACUGUGUGUGCUACACAUUUUAUUUUGUUGUGUUGGAUUGGUGGUUUGCUUUGCUGAGCAGACUUAUUGUUCAAAUCAAAGGAAAAAUAAGAUUUAUAACUGUAUUUAUUAUUUUCUGCUUAAUUUUUGUGUGUGUCUACAUCUUCUAUAUGCUAGAAAAGAAACAUCUUAAAGAAGGCUGAAGUAAAUGUUACAUGUAUAAUAAUGUAAAUAAUUAAUCAUUCUAAUGCCAGAGUAAACUAAAGGAUGCCUCACUUAGAAGCUAAGACGAUUUUGGAUUCACCAAAUUUUCUGACUUGUGCUGCAAACACUUUCACAAAUUAAUAUAGAAGGAGCCAUGUGCAAAUCAAUAACUUCAACAACACUGUUUUACAAUCAACUGCUAUUAAAGUCCAACUGUUUUGCUCAACAUGUGGCAACUGUUUAUUUAAAAAAAAACGGAUUCACUAGAAUUUUUACCAGCAUAUAAAUUUCUUUGCAAUAAGAAACAAUAGUUUGCGACAGUGAAAUACUGUUUUCAAACUUUCUUCCAACCUUUUACAAAUCUUCAACAAUCUUCGCAAAAUCCUAAAAUACUCUAUAUUCAAGCAUUUGCGGCUCAGUGAGAUAUCCUUUUUGUUAGUGAUUGUAGUGAUUAUGGUUUGAUGAUUAUAUGAAAUCUUAUAAAAUUGUGUCCUGAUAUAACCAAUCUUGUCAUGAAUUCCAAGGGCUUCUUGCCUGCUUUUUGGUACAUUCCAUAUUUAGACUGUCCUUUAAACACUGUACAGAUCCCAGUGUUGCUGAUUGUUAUCAUGCCAUAAAUAAUUUUGCAAUAAAGUUGUGCUAAAUUGUAGACAAGUAUUGAACAUUUAUAUGCAAACAGGUAGAGCUUUGAUUGAAGUAUUGAAAUACAUGGAAUAGUACUGUUAUAUAGUCAUUUUUAAGUUGAUAGAUAUUUGAGAUUUUCAUUUAUUCCCCCCCCCCCUUGUGUGACAGUUCUGUAUUACAUGUAGCCUGCUCAGGGUAGGAAGUAGUUUUUUAUUUUUUUUAUUUUAGGGGCUAUUAUUUAUGUCACAUUUGGGGCUAUUACUGAGUUUUGGGGCUAGUUUAUUUGAUUUCAAGGGCUAGUUUUUGUGUUCAACAAGCAAUACAUGUAUGUUGAAUGUAGAAUAAUGGUUUUUCUUUUUUGAAUAUUGUUUAUUGCAAUAUUCAGGCAACCUUAGACAAGAUGGUUGCCCCAAAGCAUUCCAUUUUGCAAAUUUUAGGGGUCAUUUUGUCUGUCAUGCCAUUCAUUUAUAAAUUCAUUCAUUGUGAUCAUAAAAAGAUAGCACUUUAAUAGUUGUCCCUUAUAUUUAUUUGUGCUUGAAUUGAAAGGGUUUAUUAAAAGAUCUAACUCAUUUUUCUAUUCUUCAUCAAAGGUGACCAUUAGAGGUGGCACAUAUGUUUAUUAAUUUUAAAUGUAUAAUUUUCAUUUCAAUAUUUU
RNAcentral lists this unclassified non-coding RNA (8639 nucleotides) under Lytechinus variegatus (green sea urchin). RNAcentral describes it as "laminin subunit gamma-2-like, transcript variant X1". Lineage: Eukaryota; Metazoa; Echinodermata; Echinoidea; Temnopleuroida; Toxopneustidae. The record is from RNAcentral.